CUACGGGAGGCAGCAGUGGGGAAUAUUGCACAAUGGGCGCAAGCCUGAUGCAGCCAUGCCGCGUGUAUGAAGAAGGCCUUCGGGUUGUAAAGUACUUUCAGCGGGGAGGAAGGGAGUAAAGUUAAUACCUUUGCUCAUUGACGUUACCCGCAGAAGAAGCACCGGCUAACUCCGUGCCAGCAGCCGCGGUAAUACGGAGGGUGCAAGCGUGAAUCGGAAUUACUGGGCGUAAAGCGCACGCAGGCGGUUUGUUAAGUCAGAUGUGAAAUCCCCGGGCUCAACCUGGGAACUGCAUCUGAUACUGGCAAGCUUGAGUCUCGUAGAGGGGGGUAGAAUUCCAGGUGUAGCGGUGAGAUGCGUAGAGAUCUGGAGGAAUACCGGUGGCGAAGGCGGCCCCCUGGACGAAGACUAACGCUCAGGUGCGAAAGCGUGGGGAGCAAACAGGAUUAGAUACCCCCGUAGUC
This 464-nucleotide ribosomal RNA is filed under the name uncultured bacterium. Its description in RNAcentral is "partial 16S ribosomal RNA". It matches the Rfam family "Bacterial small subunit ribosomal RNA", at positions 339 to 795 of the family's 1533-position model. The record is from RNAcentral.